Nothoprocta perdicaria is the source of this 297-nucleotide long non-coding RNA. RefSeq lists it as uncharacterized. The transcript is spliced from 2 exons. The record is from RefSeq and is a predicted model, not a curated record. NCBI's taxonomy places the organism in Eukaryota, Metazoa, Chordata, Aves, Tinamiformes, Tinamidae.
UUUUGUUAUCAGCUGUCUUUCAGGUACUAUUUGAUGCUGCGAACUGUGCAAACAAAUGAAAGUGUUGAGACUUCCUUAUCCAGUGUUUAUUGAAUCUGGUGGUUGCAGAAGAGCAAGACUGAGGUCUUGAGUGCUCCCUUUUCUUUUCAUUACUUCUGUACCAAAAGGGAAGACCUUGAAACUCUCAGUCACUGUACUUAGAAGAGCAUGCCAUGGUAAAUUCUGAAACUGCUAGUGGCUUCAUGUAGCUUUCAGGAAGCGAGAAUGAAAGGGUUUGCAUUGGUGUGACAAGCUGGU